UAGGGUGGUUAUAGCAUUGGGGCUCACCUCUUCCCAUCCCGAACAGAGAAGUUAAGCCCAAUUGCGCCGAUGGUACUGCAUUAUUGUGGGAGAGUAGGUCGCUGCCUUUC
RNAcentral lists this ribosomal RNA (110 nucleotides) under Polaribacter gangjinensis. The record is from RNAcentral. Lineage: Bacteria; Pseudomonadati; Bacteroidota; Flavobacteriia; Flavobacteriales; Flavobacteriaceae.